CUACAGAAUGUUACGUCUGAUAUUAUUUACGUUGAAUCUGCUUUUCCAAACUACACAUCAAAGAGGAUACAAUAUAUCUCACGUGUUGCAACUCCCAAUCAACUGAGUCGAACUCCUCUAAGAAUUUUUUACUCAUAUUUAUGACUGUGAGAUUCAGGUUAAAGUGUAAAUUUCUGGUCAUUAAAUCAUCACUGCAUACAAUUAUGAGUGUGAACU
Molecule: long non-coding RNA, 216 nt
Filed under: Medicago truncatula (barrel medic)
Lineage: Eukaryota; Viridiplantae; Streptophyta; Magnoliopsida; Fabales; Fabaceae
Description: long non-coding RNA (MTRU_LNC000289)
Source: RNAcentral